This is a long non-coding RNA of Seriola aureovittata, 247 nucleotides long. RefSeq lists it as uncharacterized. The transcript has 3 exons. The record is from RefSeq and is a predicted model, not a curated record. NCBI's taxonomy places the organism in Eukaryota, Metazoa, Chordata, Actinopteri, Carangiformes, Carangidae.
CUUACCCACUGCAGUGAGACAGGGAAACGAGGUCAGUCCAGCUGUGACGUCACUGACGUCAACAAUCUGCACAUUAAUGUGACAAAACAACAGUCAUGAGGAGUGUGAUGCAGCAGUGAGACUCGCACCUUUCCCGCACUCUGCGCACAGGAAGUCUCGGAUGUCGUCGUGAACCCUGAGGUUCCCGAUACUGUUGAAGAUUCGGCCACAGAUUUCACACGGAUGGAUGUACCUUUAGGACAGAUGA